AGCAUUUGAAAAGUUGUAGUAGUAGGUCGGAGCUCGGAUGCGGGUCCGGUCGGUCGGGUCCACUCCCAUCCCAUCCGGAACACCGGUGAGGUGAGGUGAGCUGAUGAGGAGGAUUCGUGGGCGUGCCUGGCGAUUAUCACAGUGAUCUCUGUCCUUGUCCAGGGGCGUGAAACCGAAGAAAACCCGUUAAGUGUGGAAAAAUUGAUAGGAAAGUUGCGCCGGCGCAAGGGAAAUCCUUUAAAUGUGUGUUUAACCACAAAAGCGACGUGAGUUUAACCAACAUAAUCGGCAGUCGGGGCGCCUGGGAAAGCCAUCCGCUUCCUCGAAAGAGUUGGGAUCCGUCGGCGUGACCUGUGUGACACUUUCAUUUGCCGGGUUAACGCCCCCUCGAAAUCCGUCGAAGUCCGUCCAGUUUUGAAACCGAAAUUUAACGCUUGCUUAGCGCGUGGGAUCGCCAGAUGCCCCGGUCAUCAUCAUCGAUGUAAACCACAUGUGCCGAACGCCCCUCAUAAUGAGCGCGACGGAUCCGAACACCCAAUUCUUGAAUCUGGACCUAACCUACAGCGUAUUUCCAAUUGAAGUGGGAAUUUGCCUGGGAAUCUGGCCUGCUCCGCCUGGACCACUUUAUUUAGUGUACGUUUUUUGCGGUCGCCUGCAACCGCCAGUCGGCCAACCACAACAACACCAAUCGAGGAGCAGUUGAGGUCGCGGCAACAACAACAACAAUCCGGCAUGGCCUCUGCCUCGGCCUGGCCCCCACCCCUCCGCCCACUUUCUGCGCCUGUUGUUGUUGCUGUUGCUGCAGUGAGAGGCGUAGCUAAAAGCAGGGAACCCGUAUUUAGGGGCAUUGGCAAGAGCGAGAGGCAGCGAGCCAGCAACGCCAGGCGAGGGCAACGAGUGCGAUAAGGCAGGCAUUAGCAGCAGCACAUAGCAUACAAAACAACAAUACAAAGCCAUCGGCGCAGGAAGAGAAAGAGAGGAGCCAAAGAGAGGGCUCCCCAAAAAGAGAGUGGAGAGUGGGAGAGCGUGUGGAGCUCGGAAUUGAACAUUUCGAAACAUUUAAAGCUGUACAGUGAAAGAAAAUAAUUAUAUUUUUUACACCUAACAAUUUCUAACUUAUUAUCAAUUAAGAAUUUAAUAAAAAUACAAUUAUGUGAUAGCAAA
This is a long non-coding RNA of Drosophila subpulchrella, 1164 nucleotides long. RefSeq lists it as uncharacterized. The record is from RefSeq and is a predicted model, not a curated record. The transcript has 2 exons. NCBI's taxonomy places the organism in Eukaryota, Metazoa, Arthropoda, Insecta, Diptera, Drosophilidae.